GACGAACCGUGCGAACGUUAUUCGGAAUCACUGGGCUUAAAGGGCGCGUAGGCGGGCCACCAAGUCAGGGGUGAAAUCCCACGGCUCAACCGUGGAAGUGCCCUUGAUACUGGUGGCCUCGAGGGAGGCAGGGGCGUGCGGAACUUUGGGUGGAGCGGUGAAAUGCGUAGAUAUCUGGAGGAACACCGGUGGCGAAGGCGGCAUCCUGGACCGGCAUUGACGCUGAGGCGCGAAAGCCAGGGGAGCAAACGGG
RNAcentral lists this ribosomal RNA (253 nucleotides) under uncultured bacterium. Its description in RNAcentral is "partial 16S ribosomal RNA". It matches the Rfam family "Bacterial small subunit ribosomal RNA", at positions 524 to 776 of the family's 1533-position model. The record is from RNAcentral.